GAAGGCAGUUUCACCUCCCUGACCUCCAGGGAAGGGAGAGGAGCUGGAGAUUGACCUCAAUCACCAAUGGCCAAUGAUUCACUCAAUCAUGCCUACAUAGUGAAGCCUCCAUAAAAAUCCUGAAAGGGGUGGCAUCCAGUAAGCUUCCAGGUUUUUGUGUGGACUUGUUUUCAUACAGCGGAAAGUCACUGAGCUAUGAAAAAGUACUGAAGUACUGAUACAUUCUACAAUAUGGAAAAACCUUGAAAAUGUCAUGGUGAAGCUGCUCGUCUCCUCUUCUCUGACAUCUCUGCAGCACCUAGGCAUCUGGGAUUAUCAUUAGACCUCAGCACCCUGACAUGAGGAGGCUGGCUCUGUAAAGCCCUAACCCAGCCAGUCAUGAGGGACAUUCUGGCUUCCUACACACCCCAUCGAAACACACAAAGGACAGGUCACACGUCACACGAACUGUAUCAUGUGACCCCUACAGAGAAUGAGGCACACACCUCAUGUUAGCAGGGGUCACACACUCAAACAUCCACUGGGGUGUUAGAUGCUGUGAAUGUGAGUGGCCAUGGAGGGAGCUGCAAAACUGGAAAGAACAGCCCCAGCUAGAGGGGCAAAUUUGGCUACUUCCUACUGAUUAUUUCCAUGUAGGCCCCAUGUUGCCAGAUUUUCCAAGAUAAGUUGGAAAUUUGGAAUUUUAUUGUACAAUGCUCAAAGUUUAAUAUCUAAUUCAAAACUCCAUGAUUAUUCUGCAAGUGAAACAAUAAUGCAUCAAAGGAUUAGAUCUGUCGUAAUGGCUACUGAUUUCUCAACUCUGAAUUAUAACGAUUCAUAAAUGAAAUUACUGAACUGAAUAAAAAAAGAAAUGGAAAUUAUAGUCUAGUACAGAGGACAGGCACCAAGACACACGAGAACCUAAGAUAGCUCACCUAUCACACAAUCGUUAACAUACAGACCCACCCGACAGAAACAUCAACCCUUGCCAGCACCAAAGUGACACCUUCUCCUGUGAGGAUGAGUAAGUGAAGGGGCUGGAAAGAAGAACCAAUUCUUUCUCCCUGAAACUUCUCAGAUGACAGAGGGUCCUAUUCUGUGAACUGAGGUGGGUGGGAACAAGAGAAUAAGAGAGAGGAUAUUUCUCCUACAAU
Orcinus orca (killer whale) is the source of this 1133-nucleotide long non-coding RNA. RefSeq lists it as uncharacterized. The transcript has 3 exons. The record is from RefSeq and is a predicted model, not a curated record. Lineage: Eukaryota; Metazoa; Chordata; Mammalia; Artiodactyla; Delphinidae.